RNAcentral lists this ribosomal RNA (253 nucleotides) under uncultured bacterium. RNAcentral describes it as "partial 16S ribosomal RNA". It matches the Rfam family "Bacterial small subunit ribosomal RNA", at positions 524 to 776 of the family's 1533-position model. The record is from RNAcentral.
UACGGGGGGUGCAAACGUUGCUCGGAAUUAUUGGGCGUAAAGCGCACGUAGGCGGUUCGUUAAGUCGGAUGUGAAAGCCCUCGGCUCAACUGAGGAAGUGCACCCGAAACUGGCGAGCUUGAGUACGAAAGAGGAUCGCGGAAUUCCCGGUGUAGAGGUGAAAUUCGUAGAUAUCGGGAGGAACACCGGUGGCGAAGGCGGCGAUCUGGGUCGAUACUGACGCUGAGGUGCGAAAGCGUGGGUAGCAAACAGG